GCCGGGUGCGGUGGCGCGCGCCUGUAAUCCAAGCUACCGGGAGGCUGAGGCUGGCGGAUCGUUUGAGCUCAGGAGUUCUGAGCUGCAGCGGACUAUGCCGAUCGGGUGUCCGCACUAAGCUCGGUAUCGAUAUGGUGCUCCUGGGGGAGCCCGGGACCACCAGGUCGUCUAAGGAGGGGUGCACCGGCCCAGGUCGGAAACGGAGCAGGUCAAAGCCCCCGUGCCGCUCAGUAGUGGGAUCGCGCCUGUGAAUAGACGCUGUAGUGCAGCCUGAGUAAUACAGCGGGACCCAGUCUUUU
Unclassified non-coding RNA from Myripristis murdjan (pinecone soldierfish), 299 nucleotides. It matches the Rfam family "Metazoan signal recognition particle RNA". Rfam says of the family: The signal recognition particle (SRP) is a universally conserved ribonucleoprotein. Lineage: Eukaryota; Metazoa; Chordata; Actinopteri; Holocentriformes; Holocentridae. The record is from Ensembl.